UGCGACCUGCGCAGGCUGAAACCAGUCUCUCGAGCUGAAAGAAAACGCAGCUGAGGAGAUAUGAGGAAACUUCCACCUACAGUAAGCAGAUGCUGAGGCCCAGAUUUCCAUGCUAAGCACUCCAAGGCUCAUCAUGCUCGGAGUGUCCAAUCUGAGGGCAAAAAAUGGAUGCUUUCCAUCGAGGGCAGAGUUCUCCUCCAAUUGAGUGACGGUUGUGAUUUCGCUUCUGCUCUAGCCUUUUUGCGUCAUACUAUGUAUGAGGCAGCCACUACAUUGGGAUUUAUCCAGAGGGUAGAGUCCAGCCCAGGAAGUCAACUAGUUCAUGUCCAGAUUUAAAAGAAUAAUAUUUCUGAAAAAAAGGUCUUGGAGAAAAACAAUAUUCAGGUUUGAAAUCCUGCUGUAAAUGUAAAUCAUUUAACUUUUAUGCAUUUGUAAUUUACCAGAAACUUUUUAAUAAAUAUUGAUUGUUUUGUGUGUUCAGAAAAGUGUUGAAAUUAAAUGAAACAUUCACAGAAAAAUGUUAACAUAUUUAAAAAAAUUUAUAUGUUCAGAAAAGUUUUGAGAUGUUCACAGAAAAAAUGUAACACAAAAAAUGUAUGCUAUGCUAUUUUUAAUUUAUGAAUUUUUGUAAUUUAAAGUGAUAAAAUAAAUGGCAUUUUUGUGACAAA
This is a non-coding RNA of Misgurnus anguillicaudatus (oriental weatherfish), 668 nucleotides long. Lineage: Eukaryota; Metazoa; Chordata; Actinopteri; Cypriniformes; Cobitidae. The record is from RefSeq and is a predicted model, not a curated record.